RNAcentral lists this ribosomal RNA (462 nucleotides) under uncultured bacterium. Its description in RNAcentral is "partial 16S ribosomal RNA". It matches the Rfam family "Bacterial small subunit ribosomal RNA", at positions 28 to 507 of the family's 1533-position model. The record is from RNAcentral.
GACGGACGCUGGCGGCGUGCUUAACACAUGCAAGUCGAACGGAAAGGCCCUUCGGGGUACUCGAGUGGCGAACGGGUGAGUAACACGUGGGUGAUCUGCCCUGCACUUUGGGAUAAGCCUGGGAAACUGGGUCUAAUACCGAAUAGGACCACGCGCUUCAUGGUGUGUGGUGGAAAGCUUUUGCGGUGUGGGAUGGGCCCGCGGCCUAUCAGCUUGUUGGUGGGGUAAUGGCCUACCAAGGCGACGACGGGUAGCCGGCCUGAGAGGGUGACCGGCCACACUGGGACUGAGAUACGGCCCAGACUCCUACGGGAGGCAGCAGUGGGGAAUAUUGCACAAUGGGCGCAAGCCUGAUGCAGCGACGCCGCGUGAGGGAUGACGGCCUUCGGGUUGUAAACCUCUUUCACCAGGGACGAAGCGUAAGUGACGGUACCUGGAGAAGAAGCACCGGCCAACUACGUG